UAACACAUGCAAGUCGAACGAGAGAGAGGGAGCUUGCUUCCUCAAUCGAGUGGCGAACGGGUGAGUAACGCGUGAGGAACCUGCCUCAAAGAGGGGGACAACAGUUGGAAACGACUGCUAAUACCGCAUAAGCCCACAGGUCGGCAUCGACCAGAGGGAAAAGGAGCAAUCCGCUUUGAGAUGGCCUCGCGUCCGAUUAGCUAGUUGGUGAGGUAACGGCCCACCAAGGCAACGAUCGGUAGCCGGACUGAGAGGUUGAACGGCCACAUUGGGACUGAGACACGGCCCAGACUCCUACGGGAGGCAGCAGUGGGGAAUAUUGCACAAUGGGGGAAACCCUGAUGCAGCGACGCCGCGUGGAGGAAGAAGGUCUUCGGAUUGUAAACUCCUGUUGUUGAGGAAGAUAAUGACGGUACUCAACAAGGAAGUGACGGCUAACUACGUGCCAGCAGCCGCGGUAAAACGUAGGUCACAAGCGUUGUCCGGAAUUACUGGGUGUAAAGGGAGCGCAGGCGGGAAGACAAGUUGGAAGUGAAAUCUAUGGGCUCAACCCAUAAACUGCUUUCAAAGCUGUUUUUCUUGAGUAGUGCAGAGGUAGGCGGAAUUCCUGGUGUAGCGGUGGAAUGCGUAGAUAUCGGGAGGAACACCAGUGGCGAAGGCGGCCUACUGGGCACCAACUGACGCUGAGGCUCGAAAGUGUGGGUAGCAAACAGGAUUAGAUACCCUGGUAGUCCACACCGUAAACGAUGAUUACUAGGUGUUGGAGGAUUGACCCCUUCAGUGCCGCAGUUAACACAAUAAGUAAUCCACCUGGGGAGUACGACCGCAAGGUUGCAACUCAAAGGAAUUGA
RNAcentral lists this ribosomal RNA (851 nucleotides) under uncultured bacterium. RNAcentral's name for it is "bacterial SSU rRNA". It matches the Rfam family "Bacterial small subunit ribosomal RNA", at positions 49 to 913 of the family's 1533-position model. The record is from RNAcentral.